RNAcentral lists this unclassified non-coding RNA (285 nucleotides) under Basidiomycota sp. RNAcentral describes it as "partial contains small subunit ribosomal RNA, internal transcribed spacer 1, and 5.8S ribosomal RNA". The stretch from base 1 to 47 matches the Rfam family "Eukaryotic small subunit ribosomal RNA", at positions 1785 to 1831 of the family's 1831-position model. The record is from RNAcentral. Lineage: Eukaryota; Fungi; Basidiomycota.
AAAGUCGUAACAAGGUUUCCGUAGGUGAACCUGCGGAAGGAUCAUUAUCAUAACAUCCACGUUAAACCAUUGUGAACCGUAGCUUUUGUGAGAUGGACGCUUGGCUUGGUGAUGAUUCGUCGUUAUUGAGCCGAGUGGAAGUCUUGCAUUAGCAUUUCAAUUAAACCAUUGAACCAAUCAUUAUAACUUUUGUACUAAUCAUCUCCUACUCUCGGCCUCAAAACCUUGAGAUGAGAUAAAUACGAAACAUAAGAACAACUCUUAGCAACGGAUAUCUUGGCUCUC